AAAAUAAAAAAUACCAUUUGAAUCCCUAUACAUGUGUUGACACAUUACACACGGUCCCUGCCAUAAAAAACACACUUUUGACGUUUAAUUACCAUUUUACACGGAAGAAACUCCAGAUGUGCCCCAAAUCAGUUUCUCCAUAAUUUGCUAGCUUAAAUUCAGAACAUUCCAUUUCUUAAUAUUCAACAUUUAACGUUAUUACGUGCGGUUUUUGUACUGAGGUGAGCCACUCAUCUCUUAAGAACAUAAAUAAUCCCAUUUGGGAUGAAAAGAUGUCUUACUUGCAAAGGCAAGGAUCCACCGUCUGACUCUGCUCAGCAGGGGCUCCACCGCAGGGGGUCCACUGGAAGACAUCGUCUCCUCCACGUAACACUCGUAACACAGCUACACUCGUCAAGUUCAACAGUAGAAGUGAAUUCAGAAUGGCCAGCAGCGUUCAGGUGACCUCAGUGAAACGUCACCGUCCUGUUGCCAUGGCGUUUACUCACCGCUAUGUCCAAUGAUGAGUAGAAAGAUAGAAGACAUGAGGAUACACUUGAAUCCCUGCGUGCUUCCAUCGACAUCAUGUAAAUAUUGCACAAUUAAUAAAGUCCUGAACUUCUUUC
Molecule: long non-coding RNA, 605 nt
Organism: Gasterosteus aculeatus aculeatus (three-spined stickleback)
Lineage: Eukaryota; Metazoa; Chordata; Actinopteri; Perciformes; Gasterosteidae
Source: Ensembl